RNAcentral lists this ribosomal RNA (1207 nucleotides) under Heyndrickxia sporothermodurans. RNAcentral describes it as "bacterial SSU rRNA". It matches the Rfam family "Bacterial small subunit ribosomal RNA", at positions 254 to 1451 of the family's 1533-position model. The record is from RNAcentral. Lineage: Bacteria; Bacillati; Bacillota; Bacilli; Caryophanales; Bacillaceae.
GAGGUAACGGCUCACCAAGGCGACGAUGCGUAGCCGACUUGAGAGGGUGAUCGGCCACACUGGGACUGAGACACGGCCCAAACUCCUACGGGAGGCAGCAGUAGGGAAUCUUCCGCAAUGGACGAAAGUCUGACGGAGCAACGCCGCGUGAGUGAUGAAGGUUUUCGGAUCGUAAAACUCUGUUGUUAGGGAAGAACAAGUAUCGUUCGAAUAGGGCGGUACCUUGACGGUACCUAACCAGAAAGCCACGGCUAACUACGUGCCAGCAGCCGCGGUAAUACGUAGGUGGCAAGCGUUGUCCGGAAUUAUUGGGCGUAAAGCGCGCGCAGGCGGUUUCUUAAGUCUGAUGUGAAAGCCCACGGCUCAACCGUGGAGGGUCAUUGGAAACUGGGAGACUUGAGUGCAGAAGAGAAGAGCGGAAUUCCACGUGUAGCGGUGAAAUGCGUAGAGAUGUGGAGGAACACCAGUGGCGAAGGCGGCUCUUUGGUCUGUAACUGACGCUGAGGCGCGAAAGCGUGGGGAGCGAACAGGAUUAGAUACCCUGGUAGUCCACGCCGUAAACGAUGAGUGCUAAGUGUUAGAGGGUUUCCGCCCUUUAGUGCUGCAGCUAACGCAUUAAGCACUCCGCCUGGGGAGUACGGCCGCAAGGCUGAAACUCAAAGGAAUUGACGGGGGCCCGCACAAGCGGUGGAGCAUGUGGUUUAAUUCGAAGCAACGCGAAGAACCUUACCAGGUCUUGACAUCCUCUUGCCCUCCCUAGAGAUAGGGAUUUCCCUUCGGGGACAAGAGUGACAGGUGGUGCAUGGUUGUCGUCAGCUCGUGUCGUGAGAUGUUGGGUUAAGUCCCGCAACGAGCGCAACCCUUGACCUUAGUUGCCAGCAUUCAGUUGGGCACUCUAAGGUGACUGCCGGUGACAAACCGGAGGAAGGUGGGGAUGACGUCAAAUCAUCAUGCCCCUUAUGACCUGGGCUACACACGUGCUACAAUGGAUGGUACAAAGGGUUGCUAGACCGCGAGGUUACGCCAAUCCCAUAAAACCAUUCUCAGUUCGGAUUGUAGGCUGCAACUCGCCUACAUGAAGCCGGAAUCGCUAGUAAUCGCGGAUCAGCAUGCCGCGGUGAAUACGUUCCCGGGCCUUGUACACACCGCCCGUCACACCACGAGAGUUUGUAACACCCGAAGUCGGUGAGGUAACCUUUUGGAGCCA